Molecule: long non-coding RNA, 225 nt
Filed under: Panax ginseng (ginseng)
Lineage: Eukaryota; Viridiplantae; Streptophyta; Magnoliopsida; Apiales; Araliaceae
Description: long non-coding RNA (PGIN_LNC018504)
Source: RNAcentral
AAAGUUUUGUCAUUCAAAUGUUUUAGACAUGUCAAUUAUCAAACAAUUUUUUUUAUUCAGAUUCAGAUUCAACUCAUUCAGAUUCAGUUCAUUCAGAUUUAGAUUCAGAUUCAUUCAAUUUUUAUCAAACACCUCCUAAGAGUUCCCUGUAACAAAGUCGCACAGGUUUCCAAAUUUGACAAGACCGGAAAAAUAAAUAGUCUAUACAACCUUGUUCUUGUAAAU